Mus musculus (house mouse) is the source of this 16285-nucleotide long non-coding RNA. RefSeq annotates it as predicted gene, 40302. The record is from RefSeq and is a predicted model, not a curated record. The transcript is spliced from 2 exons. NCBI's taxonomy places the organism in Eukaryota, Metazoa, Chordata, Mammalia, Rodentia, Muridae.
GUCUCAAUGUGGAAAAGUGAUUGCUGCCAAGUCUGAAGUUUGAGUCUGAGACCCACAUCAUGAGAAACCCAAGAGAUCCAAUUUCUGAAGCUCCUGCACACAGGUGGGCACCCUGCAGGAACAUCAGAAAUACUCCACUGGCUAAUCCACGUAGCCAACAGGUCGCUUCCUGAGAGGCGAGCUGGAGUGCUGCUUCAAUACGCAGCAGUGCGGGUUUAAGCGACGGCAUCCUCUCGGUUUAGCUGUGUGACCUUAAGCAACUGGCUCAGUCGCUCUGUGCUUCCACUCGCGCUGUGAAAUGAAAAUCCUUCCUACCAUCUUGGGGUGAGGGUUAAGUAUUGAAGCCUUUUGACCUAACUGAGGAAGUUCUCUAUAAACAGUAACUUUUGUCCUGGAGAUGUGGCUUGGUUGCAGAGCAUUUUAUCUGACGUGCGCAAGGUUCUGGGUUCAAUCUCCAGCAUGAUAAAUAAACGAGUAAGUAACUUAUAUUCUUUGAGUAGUCUUUGGGAAGAAUUUAGGUAUUAGAGAUGUCGUUGACAUCUUGGCCCAGGCUGUUCAUGCCCACGCUGGCGUUCAGGUGUAUGGAGAUCACCCAUCCAUCCUAGUACCAUCAAGCCACUUCUCUGUGACCUCAAAGUCACCGUCUGUAAUGUGGGGGGUGGUGCUCAUAAUCCCAGCUCUCAAACCUCUCACCUUCUUUGAAAUAAUUUCUUGCCUUUUAAAUCUCAGACAACUGUCUACACACCAGCAGGGGACAGCAAUCUAGACAUCUGUUCUCUCCAAGGACGCCUCCGCUCAGGUGGCAGCGGCAGAAAUGCCCACUAGGGGGCGCGUGCGCUCUCUUCUCAGGCCGGGCUGGGGAGGGAAGGCGAGCUGGGAACCUUCUGGGCCCAUCUGUGUGUAUCAGCACAGGCAGACCUGCCACUGCCCAGCUCAAGGCUGAAUUUUGUUCACAUUAAACCUGACAAAUCUGAGGUUAGAGGAAUUAGUUAACUCACCCAGGAUCUUAGAGCUAAGAGGAACCAUGGUGCCUCUCUUGGCAGUCUUUAGGACCAGGGAAGGACACCCCUGGAUUUUGCCUGCAAUGUGGGUACCCCCAAAUAGGCACGGGUGUGGGGCUGUUACCCAGUUUGCCCCCGAGAAUAUGGAUGCCGGGCGGUGGUGCUCUGUGAGGUUUGGGACAUGGCAGUAGCUAGCUUCUCUGAAACAAAAUGCAUAGUCCUAAGAAAGGUCUGUACAAGCCGAGCCUGGUGGCGCACGCCUUUAAUCCCAGCACUUGGGAGGCAGAGGCAGGCAGAUUUCUGAGUUCGAGGCCAGCCUGGUCUACAGAGUGAGUUCCAGGACAGCCAGGGCUAGACUGGGAAACCCUGUCUCGAAAAACAAAAACAAACCCAAACCAAAAAAAGGUUCUGUACGAAAGAAGUGGGUGUGCUUGACUUUGCUGAAGCUGCUCGGUGUCAGCUGGACCUGCUAGACACCCUGUUAAAGACACAUGAGAUGUGCAAACGAUCAGUUUGACUUAUGCUCUGGCAGAGUAAGGAAUGCGCUGAAAAUAAGGAAGUGGGGCAUCUUGUGUUUGAAUGACAGCCUGACGUCACUGUUUCAGAAACAAGAGUUUCUACACUUCACUACAUAGCCCUUGCUGGCCUGGGACUCACGAUGUAGCCCAAGGUGGUCUCAAACUUGUAAUAGUCCUCCUGCCUCUAGCACCUAAGUGCUAAGGUUACAGCUGUGUAACACCAGACUAAAAUGGUUGUUUUACACUGCUACUUUUGGGGUGAUUUGUGAAACAGCAAAGAUAACUCAAACAUCAUUUAACUGAACUGAUACUACGUGAUAGACACCAAAGUAAGGUACUGUGUGUUUUCUCUCCCAGUCUCCGGUUUUGAAGAAGGGUCUCCCAUAUCCUAGGUGGCUUCAAACUUAUUGAGUACUUGAGGAUGUCCUUGAAGUACUUAGUGCAGCACCGUGCCUGAUUUUCAAACCCUGAUGUCUCAAUAAUCUUGCAUUGCACAUUCAUGGAGAAUGACAACUCAGAUUAGCAGCGGACACACUGAGAGAUGCAAUCAAUGGGGGCACUGAGACGGCUCAGCACUUAAGAGGACUUGCAGAGGAUCUGAGUUCAGUUUCCAGCACCCACAUGGCCAAUCACUGCUUAAAGCUCCACCUCUAAGGGAUAUAAUGCCCUGGUCUGGUCUCCAGGAGCACUCCAUGCACAUACAUACAUACAUACAUACAUACAUACAUACAUACAUACAAGCAACACUCAUAUGCAUAAUAUAAAAAUAAAUCUUAAAACAUAUUCAAAGCCACAUAAGGAGACCUACUCUUCAUCACCAAAGCCUUUAUUGAUAAGGAAAGUAGGAACCUACAGACUGUGCUAAAAAUCAAACGGGUAGUGGAAGACUGGCUGGUGGCCUUGAGUGGUGUACAAUAAUAAAAACAAAAGAAGAGCUACGGACAAUGGAAAAUGUCCCUGAGAAUAUGCUGUCCCUUGGGCUUCAGUCUUGCCACAGCUAUGAGACUGGAAGGGAAAUGCUUUCAUUUCAUUAACACCUUUACAUGGCAGUGAGCAAGGCUCGAGCGCCAGUUUCCUCCGACCCCACCCCCACCCGCCACCUUAGCCUUUCCUAAUAGCAUCCAAGGAUAGGGCACCUACUGUGUGUCUGACAGAGUGUCAGGUAGUCCAUCUGUCAGGUAAGUGUUUCUCGUAUCCACGAGGGUUUGAGUUUACAAACCUGGCACACCCAUGUGUUCCCUUUCUGCCAUCACAGGCCCUUUUCCUGGGGAGCGACGGAGCCAAGUCAAUCAACAAACAAUCGACUGUAUGUCAGGCUCCGCCUAUGUACCUGGGACAUCAUGACCCUCCUUGCCUCCUCCUCUGCUUGCCUACCUUCCUCUUGCCUUCUCUGAUGACGCUUUUCACAUGUUGCCGUAUCUUGAGUCUCCAAACUCUUGCAGACAAAGGAUCCAAGUAUGACACAAGGCAGAUCAGUCGAGGGAUAGAUGAACCAAAGAAUGAAUGAGAGGACGGGGUGGGUAUAUACAUGUGACUUUCCCCAGCGACACAUAAAAAAACCAACCCAUGUAUUCACUCCAGAGAGGACACGGACACACCAAAGGAAGGACUCUUCAGUUCAAGUCCAGCGUGGUCAACCAGUGGGUUUACUGGGGUUACUUAAAAGCGAUACAAGCAGCUACAUCACCAGAAAGCCCUCUGGGCAAACUACACUACCCGAUGUCCAACGUCCAACCUCAGUUCACCCCUUACAUAAUCUCAGGAUGGAGAAGGCUCAGGAGCCUUGAGUCUUCCCACUCUCUCCACAAAGGAGUGGCUCAUGUGUGGGAUUUCAUCUUCUAUCCAGGAUGUCAAUAGUAAUUUCCAGAUCGGAGGAAACAGCUAUAGUACAGUGAGUACAUGGGCAAAUGGAUGGGUAGCUGUGUGUGUGUGUGUGUGUGUGUGUGUGUGUGUGUGUGUGUGUGUGUUUGGGAGUAGGUAAAUUAAAGGGUGGAUGAGAAUUGGUUUUCACUUAGUCCUCUGAAUGGAGCAUCAAAUCUAGACACCCAGCACAGGCCUGUCUGAGUCUUGUGGUCUAGCCAAAUUCAAAUAUAAAACUAGCCAUCUACCCUGCCAUGCAAUUUGGGGGAAAGAGAGCCUAGCAACAAGUGUAGCAGAGGUGAAAAUCCCCAUGGAAACAGAUACAGUGAACUUCCCUCGGGAGAAAGUGCUCUCAGUGACUCUGGGGACACAGUCGCAGAACACCAUGCAAAAGGGCCAAGGACUCUUCCCGACGUACAGUCUACUUUAAGAGGCUUUUGGUCCAUCUGAGGCCGUUUACUUUUGAGAAAUGUGAGAUUUGAACAGAACCAGAAUGGAGCCAAGGCAACUAAAGGGCAUCAGAGGAAAGCUGGCCACUUAGUCAUUGCCCCACCGUGGCAAUGCCUCCUUUGCAGAAGCUAUAGAGAGCCGAGAUACCUGGGAUAGGAACCUGGAAUUUUCUAGACCACAAUUCUCAAUCCAGUUGUGAGAUGAGAGACACAUUUUCAACGAGUCAGGCUCAACCACUGGGUACUUCACACCACACAGAGAGCACAGUAGUCUUUGAAACGUGGGUUCUGUUUUCUAGAUCUACUUGUGCAUGACUGUACUGUGGGCAGCCGGGUGUAAAAUGUACUUCUGUUGUUCAUCAUUGUCAGAAAGCUUGGCACUGGGAUGGGCAUACCCCGUCUCAGCCAGAAUCUACUGAAGUAAGUGCAUUCCUGACGAACUAGCAGCUAGGAAUAGCUAACCAAAUGGGAUGAAAUUACAGAGCAGUUUCUUUUGCCCAGUGGGGUGGGGAGUAGGGGAAGUCUCUCUCUUUCUGGGACAUUUUUGAAGCCCGAGUAUUAGUUGGAUUGCGGGCAUUGGGAGUUGACGGAUCUGCAAGCUCACACUCAGCGGAGGAACUAGUACACACAGCGGACAAUCACAGCAGCACACAACCCUGUCUCACAGACACAGCUAUGUGGCUAGCUGUCGUUUGCUACUCGGUGGGUUCUUCUUUUACCGUUCUCCAUCUUCGCUUCCACCCUUUCAACCCUCUAACACUAGAUAAGAGAAAGGACAGCGAGGAAAGAAAAGAUCCCUAAGUAAGUCAGAGACUGGACGACUUCCUGCUGGUUAAUGGUGUCCAGUGUGUUCUUCGCUGUCAGAUUAUCUCAUUUGUAGUUGUUUCUUCUUUGCACCUGACUACUUAACCCACCCCACCUCUGGGGGCCCUAAAAUUUAUAUACCCUUUGAGGAGUCCCCAGAAUUCCAAUUGUCACACAAUCGCAGAAACUAUCUGCAGCUGGCAAAACUGACUGACAGCCCCUCCCCAACAAGAGCACGAGGCAAAUCAUAGUCAGCUAAUGUGGACAAUCUGAAGCAGCCCCGUAUCCCACACCUGGGAUGAAAAUGAAAAUGUAUUUUUAUAGUAUUGUUUUUGUUUUUCUUUUUUUUUUUUUUUUAAAGAAACCAAAAUUCCACACAGCUAGUGUUGCUUUCAUUAUCUGGUUUAUUUUACUACCUCUGAGGAAAUAGUCAAAGCAACAGAGUUUACUCUAGGUGCAGAAAAACUAAACUCAACAGGUUUGCGUAAGGAAUUAGCUCUGUAGCUUCGGGAUACUGGUGCAGCAAAAGAAGUGGAAAGGACCCGACAGGAUGCAAACCUUGGAGCUUCUAUCACAACAGUCGUGCUCAGGGGCUGUGUGUGGUGUGCUCAGCACUGGGGGCAGGCAGGCAGGGUGGGAAACUUUAGUGCUGACCCCUUAGGGAAGCCAAGUACAGUGGAUCACACAAAGUUGUGGAAAAUGUUGGUGCAACGAACAAUUGCGAUCAGAAAGUACUUCUAGUAAGUACCACCAUUUUUCCUGCCUACAAACACAAUGAGCUAGUUUGAAAGUUUCAGUGUCUGUGAAUUCUACCAAAUGCCACUGGUUCUACCAGUAUUUAUAACCCAAGUUCAAGGCCACCUGAUCCCCAGAGUCGGACCAGUCUCAGAAGUGGCUUCACACACUGGCUGAAUGAGUUGCUGUUGUUUCUUUCCCUGUUUGAGCAACAGGGUCAAAAGUAGCCCAAGCUUCAAGCUUGAAGUCCCAACUCACACCUCUGCAGUGCCUGGGUGCCUCCACCUCACUGUAGGCAGUACUGGGAAUCGAAUCCAGGGCCCCUCUCAUGUAAGCUGGGCUAACACUCCAGCCACUACAUCAUACCCACCUACCAGUACUCGACCAUCCACCAGCUCCCGGGAAAAUGGGUGGAAAGAAUCCUGUUGUGAUGUGGAAAUUUUUGAGACAGGGUCUCACUAUGCAGCCCUGACCUAGAACUUGCUGUAUAGACCAGGUUGGCCUCAAACAUUGAGAAAGAUGCACCAGUUGGUAUUAACGGUGAGCACCACCGUGCGCAGCUAUUACUGUACUUUCAAUCACUGUUUCUCAACACUCUGUUGCUCAUAAGGAGUGCACUUCAUACUUAGAAUUGAAUCCCUUCCACAGUCUUCGCAGGGUAAGGACAAUUUGCCAGGCACUGGACACAGAUGGAUAAUCAGCAAUACCGGGCCUGCCUUCAAUGAGCCCCAAUCUAGAACUGCAUCUCCUCCGGGUGGUACCCACUUCCACUCCCACCUGUCGUUUUCUGUGAUGCUAUGAGGGCCGAGAGCCUAUGUCUCAUGCCCAUGACUGCGGGGAAGUAGGGUCCUUCCCGCCUGCUGGGGCAGAUACACUACCUCUCACCUUGUCAUUUUCUGUCCUUCAGUGGCUUACAACAGGAACAAGGCAGCUGAUUCGGGGCCCUUCCCUGCCUCUUUAAACAUAAUACGGUAGGUUUUUUUGUUUUGUUUUGUUCUUUCCCCAACUAGGCAGCUUAUUUAUUACCCACGGACCAUUUGAGGAUGCCCACAGCUGGUGACAUGCUGGAAGCUCCACUUGACUAUGCCCCCAGAUGGCCACCUAGUGAGUUUCCUGCUUAGGAAAGCUGUCAAGGCUGGUUUACUCCAUCCUACAGCAGACACCUGAACCCUAUGAAGUGGACACAAAUUCCAAUUCCGAAAACACACAGAUACACAACAAGAUUAGAAGACGUCUGUCUACAGGAAGCAUUAAUUCUACUUCUUCGAUUUUACAGUUGCAUUACAUGUUAUGAAACCUAUUUAAAAACAAGUGUGAAAAGCAGUCCAUGUUCCUAUAAAAACGGAGAGGAACGUCCUGGCAUGCCUGGAGAGACGGAGGUUGCUUAAAAGAACAUGCUGUAGGCUUUGGCAUGGGCCAGAAAAACAAAGCGUUGGAGGUUAAAGAUUCUUGGAUUAGUUCUGCAAGUAUGUUUAACUUCCUCUUGCAGGCCACAGUUGGUGAAUCACUUAAGGGCGUGGCUUACACAGGACAGAGCAUGUUAACCAGCACACCUAGAAGACAAAUAGAAACUUAGGCCAGCAAGGAGCCUGGCUUGCAUGUACUCGGGACGAGCAGACACAAGAGCAGCUACUGAGCCAGCGCAUCCGUCCGCAUCCCUCCAGUCUAUCCGAAUGAGGGCUUGCUUCCUGUCAUCUUCAGAUACGCAUUUCAAGUUACAGUAUGGAUGGAAUGGAGCAUUCUGAAAGAACUUCUACAAUAUGUGAAAGAUUUCCUGAGCUUACUAUAGUAAAAGCAAAUGGCUGAGUUCUGGAACACUUAAGAGAGGGUUAGGACCUUGAGAAGACUAGAGAGUAGUUCACCCCUUCUAUCACUCGAAGACACAGCAACUUCACGAGAUGACAUCUGUAAACAAGGCAACAACUUCACAAGAUGACAUCUGUAAACAAGGCAACAACGGCCCCACCCGACACUGAGUGCCUUGAUCUUAGGGUUCUCACAUCUGGAACUGUGGUAACAACACUGCUGUUUUUAAACUAUCCAGUCGAUGGUUAUGUUACUAGAGACACAUCUGUGGUGGGUACUGUACUUUCUCUUCCCAGUGCUCAUGUGAGCAAACAGGUAUUGUGAGAUACCUGGAAGGUAGCCAAUCAGAGGGCCUUACGAACUGGAGCGUCAGGCGGCUGGGGACACAGUGUAACUCAGCUGAAGGAGAGCCUUUGGCCACUUCUUUCCUUACUGGCUCAAGGCUGUUCCGUGAGCCAUUAACUUCAGGCAACCCCGACUAUCCAGGAAUAGCCUAAGGCAGGGGUUGCACUAUCAGAUUUAAAAAGGUCAUAAAGUCACUAGUUACCUGUCAGCCUUUGCACUGAUGCCAGAGUCAGGAUUUCUAACCCAACCACAUCAAAAAGCAUGUCAAGUCCCUUGUCUGGGAAACCAGGGUUCAGAAAAAAAAUCCGUGUUUCAGGAGCCAGCUACCACAUCACCACUGAGAUUGGUUUUGGCUCACAUGGGCAAGGCAGGGAACUGGUUAACCUAAUAACUCCCACGUAGCUCCAGUUUCUCUGUAAACCUCAGGUGGUGAAUUAAGAUCCAACCUUACUGGGCAGCAUGGCUUAGGGAAGCCCUGGGGGGACCUACUGGGAACCCAUUCCCCUUUGCUCCUGGCCAGCAAUAGCAGCUUAAAUCCCUGUAACUGUGGUUUUAUAAAGCUGCUGGCCCAGCCUACGGCAUCUUUUUUUUUUUUUUUUGGUCAUAUAUUGUGUCAAAUGAACACCAAGGUGUUGCUGAGAAUCUGCAGUGUUUGAAGAAGCCCACAAUUGAAGCAGUAUCAUCUUUAUAGUGAAAGAUUUUAGGGGUUAAAGUAUAUGAACUAUACUGUAAGGACACAGGUAAAGUGGGAACAUCACUUAGGAAGCCCUUAAGAGGGAAGAUCCUUACGAGAGCAUGCUGCUUCCUUCCUUUCCCUCUUUCAACGAUGACUUAAUGGGUCCUCACUCUGUGCUAGGGAAAAGUGAGUUGUGCUAAGCCCCUGAUCUCACGUGGAAAUCAAAACAGAGGCUUUUUGGGGCUGGAGAGAUGGCUCAGCAGGUAAAGGCACUUUGCUGUCAAGUCUGAUGUCUGAGUUCAAUCCCUGUAACCCACUUUCAUAGGUUGUCCUCUGACUGCCAUAUGCACACUUUGGAAUACACACACACACACACACACACACACACACACACACACACACACACACACGCGAUGAAUGAAUAUUUAAGUUACACAGUAAAGGACACUCUUAAAGUAAUGUCAGGUUAUGUUAUGUGGCCAGUGAGCAACAUAACAGGAAAUGAAGGAGCAUGCUCUAUGCUGUAGUGGUGCAGGAUUUGAAGCAGACCUCUGAGCACGUGGUUAUGAGAGGUUGGCUUCUCAGGGAGAGGUAACUAGCCGGGGCUGUCACAGUGACCAACCACUUCUACAGAAGCAUGUCAUGCAUUGUGUAGUCUGCUAUUGCUGCAGGCAGAUCAAGCACACGCUUAUUACUGGAGGUCCUGACAGACUGUCGGUGGACCUGCAUUCCUUCAGCAAGCUUUAGGAGAUGGGCUUCCUUCUCCUCUCUGGUUUCUAGGCUACAGGCAUUCUUCCCUCUGUCUGUCUGUCUGUCUGUCUAUAGGAAAGACCUAGAAGUAGACCCAACAAAGCUAUGUAUGGCCAUCUAAUUCCUGACAACGGCAAAAUACCAGCAGAAAAACUGGUAGCCUAGUCAGCAAACUAGCAUGUCCAAAUUGACAUCUGUGGAAGAUUCAAAUUAGGAAGUUAUUGUUCACCUUGUACAAAAAAUGCCAGCACUUCAGAAGCAGAGAAGGUUGGAUCUCCAAGUCUGAGGUCUAUCUAUAUACUAUCUCUGAGCCUUGACUAUAAACUAAGUUCCAGAAUAAACAGGGUUAUGAAUUCAUUCUGUCUCAAAAACCCCAAACCUAAACAAAAACCAAAAUCCUCACCAUGGAAACCUCUGCCUCUACCAUAAACCUCUCUGACUUGUACCUCUUUAAGAACCACCUGCACAAUGCAGCCCUCAGGGCCACCUAAAUUACAAGGUAACAAGCAAACCACACCCUGGUAUGGAUGGUUCUCACCAGCUCAGUCCAUUAGAUGCAUACGUCCAUCCUGGGUGGCCUGGAAGAUCUGCUCUCCGAUGCCUUGCUCUGCAGCAUGCCACAGUGGAGGGAGCCUGAAUCCUUUUCCACUUCCCUCUAGAAUCAUCCCCAGAUCAUUCUUAGUUGUAUUGGCCUAGACUAGUCUUUAAAUCAGAGAUACCAGAAGAGCAAAGCAUGCCACAGGGAUAAUUUACACAGCAUCUGUCAUACAAUAAUCCCCACAGGAUGAAUUCAAAACUGAAUUAGGUGUCAGCAGAUAUGGAUUCAAUCAGAAAACCCAACGAAACAGCUCUGAGCAACUCUGCCCGCUACUUUGAACAUCCUAGCCAAAGGCUGCAGACUCUUCAAGGCUGGCCCACCUCUUCAUUCUCCCUUUAUGGGCCUGUUUUCCAAGUUUCUGUUAUAUGCAUGCAUCUGAACAAAAGCCACACAUAUCAUUCCUCAAACGGGGGGGGGGGGGCGGCGGGGGGGAGGGGGGGAAAUCUAGUGUCUAUCUCUGCCACCACACUCUUGGGGAGCCAAGUCUGGAUGAGAUGGGUAUUUUACAAGGGAGAGAACACUCCAGGCAGUUAUCUGAGCCCCAGGCUGUAAGGCCAGACAGACAGACAGACUAGAACACUAGCCCCCAAACCCAAGCUGGUCCCUGACCCAGUGCUUCAGCCACUUCUUCAGUGGAGAAUAUGAAACAGGAAGCUGAGAAUUGUUCAGUUUUCUGAUCGGAAAGCUCAGUUACCAGAGGUAUGAAAAUAAAGAGGUGGUUAUCACUCCCACAGAACUCAAGUGAGACUUGCCAAAGAACUGAAAACCAGUUGGCCCAAGUAUGUCACUUAUGUCAGGGAAAGUGUACCAAACUUUCACUCACAAAAACACAUCCAUAUUCAUCUGUCCUAAUCUGUACAAAUAUUCACUAGACGGCAGAGGGCUAUGACCUCAAUCCUUCCUCUUGAUUUAAAGAUGAGGCAGGAAUGGUCAGUAAUGGUCUCCAAUUUAGAAGACAACUGAAAAAGGCGGCUGGCACCAGAACACCUGGAGAUGCAACAUCUUUAAAAGCACAGUUGGGUUGCCUGGCGACUGAAACUUCUAACAGUAAGGGUGUGACCAGUGUGUUCUGACAUCUGCCAACGAGCAGACGGAAACAGGAGGAAGGGAAGAAGCCACAGAAGUGUGGUACAAAGAGCACGAGGCUAAAACACUGGUCUGACCGCACUGUGGGUGUCAGGCACAGGGCACAGCAUGAUGCAGAGAUUACAGUGAUGGGCACUGAGGAUCUCACGCAUCUAGUGCUGCCAAGACGUAGGAAAGAGUACUACUAUACCAUGGGGCUGGUAAUAUAGUGUUCUCUAACUUUGGCUGGUCCAUAACGAAGAGCAAGAAGCAGUGCUUAGGACAGUGCCCAUGCUACACUAAGUGUUCAAAUAGUGGGAAUACAACCAAACUGGAAAACCUGUCUUCCAUAGAUCAAACUUUAUCUUAAGAUAGUCACUAUACGCUAUGCUAUUAUCUACCUGCAAAUUAAAGAAAAUUUCAUCUCUAGUUGUAAAGAACCAAGAUGUCAUAGUCUUAUCAGAAUCUAAUCACAUAAUUAGAAAAUGACCAAAGGCUUAUACUAUCCUCCACAGUUGUCAUUAAAAUGAAGAAUAUUGUUUUAAAUUAUCACAUUUUAUAUCUUUUACCUGCAUGCCCUUUGCAGUUUAAAUUCUUUUCCUCUCAGGCUGGCCUUUAACUCACAGAAAGACACAGGCCUCUGCUGGGAGUGUAUCAUUUUAAAGACUUGCACUAUCACCCUCAGCUCGAAAAUAAGUUUUAUGGGCUGGAGAGCUAGCUCGGCAGUAGUAACGAACACUUGUGGGUCUUGUAGAGGACCUGAAUUCAAUUUCCAUCCCUCACAGGGGGGUUCACAACGACCGUAUCUGUAGUUCCAGGGGCUUCAGUGUCCUCCUUCAGCCUCUGCAGGCACCAAGCAUACAUAGUGCACAUGCAAGUGAAACACACACACAUAAAGAAUCUUUAAAAACAAACCACCUUUAGGUAAACAAAAAGGCAGCAGGAACGCUGUAUACAGAGAACAUGCCCUCCCUUGGAAUGCAGAGAUAAACCACAAUCUGAAUGACCUGGAACACAACUUUUAUCUCUAAGGAGUUGUUUUUUAAGAUGAAAAUGAGGGUUUGAAGUCAACAACUCUUAGCUCCUUCAAUUCGAGGACAUUUCUCCUUUCUGGUUCUAGGACAGUUAUUCCAAUUGCAGAGAAGUUCCCACCCAUGUGGCCCUCUUGUUCCACAGAAAGGAAACACAGUAUCAUUUUCAAAGUCAGAGAGCCACAGAACUGCAGAGGAUAAAAACUCUUUCAAAUAGCAGAAAGGUUGACAAAAAAAGAUAAAACUCAACCUCGGUAAAACCCAAAUGGAUUUUUAACCCAGUAGAAAAUCUACGUUGACAAAGCGUGCAAAACUUAGUUCAAAUAGCUGCAGCCUUUCUCCGAGGACCUUGGAAAAUGCUUAGUGGUUUGAGUGUUCACUGUUUGCCAUAAGGAGCAGUAAAUAAGGCAGGGAACGUGAAUGAGACACGCUUAGAAGCAGAACCUUCAGACACUAGGGAAAGUCUUCAAAAAGUAACAGAUUAAAAACCCUAUACAUUCAUAACAUGAAUUGCCUGACGGCUUUAACAAUAUUAGAGUUCGCUUCAGAAUAAACUACAACUGUAUUUUCAUGUCUCCAACCUUUUAUAGUUCCUGGAUUUUGCUACAAUUCUAAGUUUAAAUUUCCUAGGAAUGGAUACAGUGAGACAUUUUCCAAAUAACUUUUCAUGUAAAGCGAAACUUAUGGGGAAAAAAAAAUCACUUAGGAAAUCAAAUCUUAAAUAAUAAAAAUACUCUUAACUAUAUAGCAUUCACACAUCUGACUGUGGAUUCAAAAGUUUAUCUGAACAAAACCAUGCAAUUAAACUGCCUUCACUCAAAUGGUGUUGGAAGGUAACUACCCUACUUACUACCCACUGAUAAGUUAUGACAGCAUAUUUUAUAACCUGUCAUCCUAUUUCGUUUAGCCUCUACCACCAUUCCCAAGCUUCCCUCAAUGCCAGUGCCCCUGCAGGGUACCGAAUCAAACACCCUCUGAAGACUGACAAGGACGGUUAGAACAAGUAGACUCUUUCCCUACAAACCUAACAGUACACUCUAAAUUCCCUUUGUACACACACACACUUGGGCCAUUUACUUGCAGACAGUCAAACUAACUGCAACUGAAUCUAAGACAAGCAUUAGCAUAACACAAGUCAAUAAUGAAAUGUGGCUUCUCUGUGGAUGGCAAACUUACGGUUCUUUCUCACACUCAGUGAAACCCGCUAGUCACAAGGUGCCGUCCCCAUCUCCACGUGGACGCUCUUCAGAAGACAGAAUCUGUGGAGUUGGGGAUUACUGUGAUCUCUCACGGAUCACAGGGAAUGUUUCAAAGUCUAAGUGACUUCACUUGCACUCCGCAGCUACUGCUUACUUAGUUCUAUGUGCAAUGGUGAAGGAUGGGAAACUGCCAGGUACAGCACAGAAAGUCACCAGCCCACCAUCUGUCAGAAGAGGAGAGAAAAGAACAGGGCCAGUGUCUAAACCCUCAUCAGUCUGUUCACUCCACCUUGGUGCUUGGUCUAGUUUCUAGCUCAGGGGAAAUAGGAGUGUAGAACCACAGAGGAAGACAGCCAGCCAUAAAAACAAGUCGAAGCAGUUACAUUUUUAAUAGAUCGGGGGGGGGGGGGGGGGGCGGCGCAGAGGACAUGGGGUCAGGGAAGCAAAUGCAGAUAUACAAACAUGCCCCUGAGGAUUGCCAGAUGGCUCAGAGGGUACAAGCUACUGCAGCAUAGUUAAGAACCUGAGUCUCAUCUCAGGACCCACAUAGUAGAACUGACCCCUACAGAUUGUCCCUUAACCUCUACAGGCAUGCCAUGGGAAUAGGUGCACACACAAGUGAUAUAUUUUUUAAAGCAAAAAUAAAACUGACUUUUGUAUGUGUUAAUGUAAAACAUUAACUAGAAAAGUAAAAAUAAAAGCUGAAAAAAUUAUAACAUGCUGGGCUUGGUUGCUACACUAGGGACAUAUUUUAAAUUAUGGCUCUCAUAGACUAGCAGUAGAAAACUGCUCUGAAUUUCAAAUGUCCAAGUCCAGACAUGGAAAAGAUGGUCAGGUGACAUUACCAGGAUGGUUCCAAGUCACAACAACAACAACAACAACAACAAGAAGGCAGUUUGGUGUGAGCAAGUAGAAAAUAAAGUUUACCAUUCAAGGUUGCUUUUAGCAACAAACCUUGAGAGUAAGCAUGCUCAGAUGUACCCAGUGUUACUCCACUGCCACCAGCCAGAGCGCUUGUACUGAAACCGACUAGAAUAAGGAAGGUAACCGCUAGCUUUACACACCCACCUUGGGCUGGAGGGAGGGACAGCUUAUGGGUUAGAUCACUCACUGCCAAAGUUCUUCCAAAGGACUUGGGUUCAGUUCCCAGCAACCAUCACUAACUCUGAAAGGACCAGGCCCCCACACAGUGCACAUGCCUUCUCAUACACAUUAAAAAAAAAUGUAAAAACUCAAAAACACAAUCCCUACUUCUUCCAACCUUUAUUGUUGUGUUCACUCUUUCAUGCUUACUUCCUGUGAUUAGUACACCAGAAUGGAAAACUAGAUGGGGAGACUGGGCAUGGUGGGAGACUUGUAGUCCCCGUGGCAAAAAGAUUACUGUCAAGUUAGACUAGCCGAGACCAAAUCUACAAAACUGCCAACACCAACUCCACCCGGUCUGUCGGGAACUAGGGCAGAGCCUGGGCAUCUUUCAAAACUACUAUGAGUACCACAAUCCUAGAAGCAUGCACCUGAUCAAGGUCUGGCACUCAAGGAUAACACAGUCAACACCACCACGCUGUGCACUGUAGGCGUGGCUCAACACUGAUGACUAGACCAGUGACCUUUAGUUCCACUUCUUCCAAACUCAGGAAAACGCCCAUCAGCCCUAGAGCUAUGUGUGCUACUCAGUUCUGAUCUGAAAUGCUGAGUCCCCUCAACAACCAUCACUACUGAUUGCUUUCUGUCCUCCCACCAUGCUGUGUGUUCUCUACUGCCUUCAACCUUACCUGCUGGAUAAAACCUGCUACUCACAGACAACCAGUACUCUACCAAAACACACCUAUCUGCCAUCACAUGAUGACAACUGUGGGAAACUUGGGUUUCAGAGGCUUCGUCCCUAGUCUCCUUUCCAUCAACUUUACAAAGCUACCAGGCGCAGACUUACAUAGUGUCUCACUAGAGACACUGCUAAAGCAGCCAGCCGUCCGUGAAAUCUUUUACACAAGAAAAUAGAAUUCCUGUACAAAGGCCCUAAGAGACGCAGGUGCACCUGUCUAAAGUUUAGUGAGUUCCUUCAAAGUCAGCUCCUUGCAGGUAUAAGAAGAUUAAAAAUAAUAAUAAUAAAAUAUACUUAUUUCAAGUCCAAAGUUUCAUUAGAAAUGAUUAAACACAGGAUCUAAGUUAUAUAAAACACAAAGUUUUAACAAUCUUAUUUAGACCAAGUAGGCUUCAAUACGCAUUAGUACAGAUCACACAUUGAAAGUACACUAAAAGUAACAUAACAGUAUUCUCACUAUCAAGAACCAGAAGUUAUAAAACAUUCUGAAACGGACUGACUACACAAAAAUAAACAUGUUUCCCUUUAUGAGACUGUGGCUAUUAACACUCAUCAAUAGUCCCCUGGAUGAAAUACCAGGUUCUUUGUUAAGACACUGAACACUGAUAUCCAAAUACCCGAAAGUAUGUUUUAGCUACUCAUCUUGCUAACAGUUGUACAAUUUAAACUGACAUGCAGCUAAUAUUAGGCAUUACAUUUCUGUUGACUGACAGUCUCAGUCAUCCCCUUAAACAGCCACAUCUUACCCCUUAAACAGCCACAUCUUAAUUCAUUCUGCUCUAUUCAGAUUUGAGUAAAACAAAAUUUCUUCUUUAUGUCCAUUAUUUCUGCAGGCAUAAGCCCACUCUCACAUGCUGGACUUUGUAGAGAUCAGAUGAUUAACCUGUGCAUGUUUAGAAAAAUUUGUUUCCUCCUGGAUAUUAAAAUGAUUAUUUGUCUAAAAAUAUCUCAUGAGGGUCAUACACACAUGGGUAGUCGACAUCUGAAUCCCUUGGCUACCUGCCUGUUGACUCAAUCUCAAACCUAAAUUAGCUGGUUAGCAUAAAACCAAACACUUAAGUCCAAAGCAGUUCUAACUCACAGCCUUCACUACAGUAGUCUGUUUUGUGAUAGGCACUUGCUAAAAUGUUGUACUUUUUGUUUUUGCCUACUGGAAUUUUAAGAAAAUGGGUAAUUGUGAAAUCAGGCAACCCAGUAGCAAAAUCGUGUAGCAAUUUAAAACUGGAAGCUUUCAAAGUUACACAUGACUUAUUGCAUAAUCCAAAAACCUCGAUUAAGCUUCACUCAAGAGAAAUAAAAAAAAUGUCCACAUAAAGACCCAUAAAUCCAUGACAUUAUUCAUAGAAAUCCAAAUAUAUUUAACUGGCAAACAUAAGUACGAUAUGUAACGAGUAAUGGAUAAACACUGAUAAAUAUAUUUAAACUGGCCUAAUUCCACUUCUGAUCCUGUUAAAAAGGCAAAACUAAAAACAGAAAAAUGCAAUGGUUGAUGAGAACAAAGGGAACAGUAAUUUCAAGGGGCAAUGAAAAAAUGCUGGGUAAUAUGAUUACUACUGUGGAUCUGCCUAACUUUACAAAACUAUGUACCCAAGACAAAUUCUUAUAUGCAACCUACACUUCAAUAAA